GCGCUCGCGGCAUCCCCGUAACAGCAUGUGGGAACGUCGGACGAGAGAGGCGCGGCAGUGUCCACAGGCAGCUGCGGUGGGGCCGCGGCCAGUGCGGUCGUAUGGCCUGGGGCCGGCUUCCUCAGCGGCCCGCUGGCCUCCAGGCUCGCCCCCGCCGGCCUGGGUCCGCCCCGGCGCCCCACCCCUCGGCCUCACAGCGGAGGCUCUGCGGACCCGCGAAGCCAGAUAUGGCCUCCCCCAGCGCACUGUUCGGGCCAGCCACGUGGUCAGCCCUUCCCCGGAGGCCGGGCCGGCGGGAGGGCUGCGGGUUGGGCGAGCUGCUCAUCUUCCCCGAGCGGAGUCGGCCGCGGGCCAGUCUUCCACUUCAGGGGAGGGACCCCCGGCCCAGCCCUCCCGCCUGGGCCGCCUCAUCUGUUGCCAAAACAAAGGGGAUUUGGCGAUGGAGGCUUUGUUGGAAGGAAUACAAAAUCGGGGACAUGAUGGGGGAUUUUUGACAUCCUGUGAAGCAGAACUACAGGAGCUCAUGAAACAGAUUGACAUAAUGGUAGCUCAUAAAAAAUCUGAGUGGGAAGGACAGACACAUGUUCUAGAAACUUGCUUGGACAACCGUGAUCGGGAACUUAAGGCUCUCAGGAGUCAGGUUGGAAUGUUGCGUCAGCAGGUUGAAGAACAUGAAAAAGUCAAGCAAGAGAUGGCCAUAGAGUAUAAGCUGGAGUUAAAGAACCUACAUGAAGAAUUAGGCAGACUGAAGAGAAGCUAUGAAAAGCUACAGAGAAAACAUGUAAGAGACUUCAGAGGAAAUGCCAGAAAUCACAGGGAAGAUCGGUCUGAAAUUGAGAGAUUAACUGGAAAAAUAGAGGAAUUUCGUCAGAAAUCACUGGACUGGGAGAAGCAGCGCUUGAUUUAUCAGCAACAGGUAUCUUCUCUGGAGGCUCAAAGGAAGGCUCUGGCUGAACAAUCAGAGAUAAUUCAGGCUCAGCUUGCCAAUCGGAAACAAAAAUUAGAGUCUGUGGAGCUGUCCAGCCAAUCGGAAAUUCAGCACCUGAGCAGUAAGCUGGAGCGGGCCAAUGACACCAUCUGUGCCAAUGAGUUGGAAAUAGAGCGCCUCACCAUGAGGGUCAAUGACUUGGUUGGAACCAAUAUGACUAUUAUGCAAGACCAGCAGCAAAAAGAAGAAAAAUUGAGGGAAUCUGAAAAACUGUUAGAGGUUCUGCAAGAAGAAAAGAGAGAAUUGAAGGCAGCUCUUCAGACUCAAGAAAAUUUCAUGUGUGAGACAAGAAUACAAAAGGAGAAGCUACAAGCAAAAUUAAAGGCAACUGACACUCAACACACAGUAGAGACCAUAAGGUCACUGGAGGAGUCUCAGGCAGAAAGGAGGUAUGCCUCUCAAGAGCAGGGAGACUUAGAGAAUGUGCUCUCCCGACUGGAUUUUACCCACACUAGUGAAGAACUUCUGCAGGCAGAAGUGACUCGUCUGGAAGUCAGCUUGGAAUCUGUGAGUACGACAUGUAAACAGCUGAGCCAAGAGCUAAUGGAAAAAUAUGAAGAACUAAAGAAGAUGGAAGUGCAUAACAAUGAGUACAGGGCAGAGAUUAAGAAGUUGAAAGAACAGAUUUUGCAGGCUGAACAGAGUUACAGUUCUGUACUAGAGGGAAUGAAGAUGGAGAUCUCCCAGCUAACUCGAGAGUUACAUCAGCGAGAUAUCACUAUUGCUUCCACCAAAAGUUCUUCCUGUGACAUGGAGAAGCAACUCAAAGCAGAGAUGCAAAAGGCAGAAGAAAAAGCAGUAGAGCACAAGGAGAUUUUGGCUCAGUUGGAGUCACUCAAGUUAGAAAAUCAUCGUCUUUCUGAAAUGGUGAUGAAAUUGGAAUUGGGUUUACAUGAGGCAAAAGAGGUUUCACUAGCAGACCUCCAGGAGAAUUAUACUGAGGCAUUAAAUAAAUUAGUGUCUGAAAAUCAACAACUACAGAAAGAUUUGAUGGAUACCAGAGCUCAGCUGGAGAUUUCUACUCAGAUUUGCAAAAAAAACCAGGACAGGAUCUUUAAACCAACACACAGCAGAGUACCUGAGUUCAAGAACAUGGAGUUCAAGCCAGCCAGUGGCCAGCGCAAGCAUGAUGGGAUGGAGGCUGAGCACUACAAAGCAGGUCUUCAUUCUACGCAAGGACAAGCGUUGGAUAGCGUAGAGGCUGUGUCCUGGGGCCUCACCCCGCCGAGUCAUCAGAUCAGCCCUUGCUGCUCCACCAUCUCUCUGCCUUCUAACUUUCUGUGCAAAACUCACUCUUUGCCUUCAGUGCUAGAUACAAAUGAAACCAAUUUUUCUGACACUGUUUCUGAAAGUAUAAAUGACCAAGAAGACUUUAUAUAUUCGGUAUGGAGAGUUGCUGAGCUUACUAGUGUAUUAAGUUUAUUUAGUUUGAUUUUAUUUUUUAUUUUAAGGUGGAGCAGUAUUCCCCCUCCCACCCCCCUUACUGGUUCUCUCUCUUAAGCAGCCUUUGUUAUCCUCAAUUAUUUCUGUCUUAAGGUUUUGCUUGUGAAGACACUGUUGUCCACGACUACUUUUCAAAAUGCAUCUUAAGAAAUAUAACAUAAGUUAUAGGUAUUCAUUUCUUUUUAGCCUGAAUGGGAAAUUCUAUUGCUGCCUUUUUCAGAGAGGGUCAAUUUUGUGUUGGGAUGAUUGGUUCAAGGAAUAUCUCUGCCUGCCAAGAUAGUCCUGGGGCAUAGACAGUGGGGAAGGAGAAAAGGAACGGUUGGAAAGGGAAAGAGGUGGGUAGAGGCGGGGGAAGGAGUUGCAUCUGACGUGUCUAGAACAUGGACUGGGUGCCACACAGUGGUGGCCCUGGUGUCAGAGGCUGCCUUUCCAUGUGGACUGGCCCCUUGUUCUCACAGCUGCUGUGAGGACUCCACUCCACCAUCUUUUCUUUACCUUCUGUGCUGAAGCACUCGCCUCUGGCCAUUCAUUCCCAUCAACCUCCCGUGGUCGUAUACCUGAGAAAGUUCAGUAUUUUUGACUUUUUAAUGUGCCAACAAGUCCGUGGGAAGGUUUUCUUUUAGUUGUCAAAAUAUAUGUAAUAUAUGUAUUUCUGAAAUCCAAAAAAGUCCUGACAACUAACUUUCUUCCUAAGUUUGUCAGCAAAACUUAUUUGGCGCUGAAACCUCACCUGGCCUGAACUGAGCUGAUGUGAUACGUCCCUUGCCUCUGUCUCCUCUUGGUUCAAUAGCCACAAGAUUUUUGGAAGAGGAGGAACUGAGGUCUCAUCACAUUCUAGAGCGCCUGGAUGCGCAUAUUGAAGAACUAAAAAGAGAG
Molecule: RNA transcript, 3307 nt
Organism: Globicephala melas (long-finned pilot whale)
Lineage: Eukaryota; Metazoa; Chordata; Mammalia; Artiodactyla; Delphinidae
Gene: CEP63
Gene name: centrosomal protein 63
Source: RefSeq, a predicted model, not a curated record